RNAcentral lists this ribosomal RNA (773 nucleotides) under uncultured Neocallimastigales. RNAcentral's name for it is "partial large subunit ribosomal RNA". It matches the Rfam family "Eukaryotic large subunit ribosomal RNA", at positions 24 to 643 of the family's 3401-position model. Lineage: Eukaryota; Fungi; Neocallimastigomycota; Neocallimastigomycetes; Neocallimastigales. The record is from RNAcentral.
UAUGUGAUCGUCUCUCGCAUAUCAAUAAGCGGAGGAAAAGAAACUAACAAGGAUUCCCCUAGUAACGGCGAGUGAAGCGGGAAGAGCUCAAAUUUGAAAUCUUAAAGGGUUUCCCUUUACGAAUUGUAGUUUAAAGAAGUGUUUUCUGUUGAGGUUUUGGUAAAAGUUCUUUGGAAUAGGACAUCAUAGAGGGUGAGAAUCCCGUAUUUGACCUUUACUUUCAACUUUGUGAUACACUUUCAAAGAGUCGGAUUGUUUGGGAAUGCAGUCCAAAAUGGGUGGUAAAUUUCAUCUAAAGCUAAAUAUUGGCGAGAGACCGAUAGCGAACAAGUACCGUGAGGGAAAGAUGAAAAGAACUUUGAAAAGAGAGUUAAACAGUACGUGAAAUUGUCAAAAGGGAAGCGUUUGACACCAGUGUUGUUUUUCUGAAAAUCAAUUAAAGAACUGUUUAUGCUAAGCUGUUUAGACUUUAUCAGCUAUCUGUUUAGUUUUGAGCUUUUCUUUAAUGCACUUUUCAGUUAACAAGUCAACAUCAAUUUCUUUUGCUGUAAAAAAGCUUGAGGAAGGUGGCUUGAGAUUCGUCUUAAGUGUUUAUAGCCUCUUGCCUAUGCAGUCGGAGAGAUUGAGGUCUGCAGCGUAGAUCCUUCGGGGCUAAAUGCAUUUGUGCUAAGUUAUAGCAUUUUAUAGACAACUUGUUGACUAUGAUUUGUCUUGUAGCUUACUCGCUUAUGUUAUUUUACCUACGCUUAGGAUGUUGACUGAUAUGUAGUCGU